AGCAGGGAGCAUGGAAGCACUGUGGGACGCGCUGUGGCACGCAUUUUGGAACGGGCUGUGAUACGUUCUGUGGGAUGCACACUGCGAGACAAGCUGUGGGAGGCACUGCCUGCCAUCAGACAGGCUUCUGUUGGCUGCAUGCAAACACGCAAGAGUUGCAAAGAAGGUGAAGCAGCAGAACAAAGGAAAGGAAGUGCUCUCGUGAUGAUGAACCUUUACGGCCGGACUAUUCCGCUCCGGUUCGGGAGACACAGAUUCAGUAGGUCUUCGUCUCUUAUUGCGGCAGCAAGAGCACAGAAAAGGAUGAGCAACUCGAAUGAGACAGUCGAGCCGAGAAGCGCAGAACCACUGCCUUAGAGCACCGGUCUCCAGCGCCAGUCCUCGAGGCCUGCGGUGUCCAAAGCUUUCUCGGCUCUCCUUCAAUCAAAGAGCUGACGAGCAGCGCUGAAUCAGUCCGAUGAGGCCGAUUAAUGUAAAUUCACUCAAGAAUGCUUCUGCUCUUAACUGAAAUGAAACGCUCUAGGCUGCAGCGCUGCUGGACCCUGAGCACAGGAAGCGCACGGUGUGGUCCGCGCUCUGCCGUAUGGAUGUGUGGCAGCUGUGGGCCCUGAGUGGAAGCUGGCUGUGACAUCUGGCCCCGGGCUGGGCCACGACACUCACCGUGGCCUCCGACGUGGACCGCUGCUGUGCGAGGAGUGUCCUCGGAAGCGUCCGGCCCUCGCAGCGCUCUUGCAGGCGGAGCUUCUCAAACAGGACCUAAGCACAGGUAUCACCGCAAUCAGAGUCUGGCUACACCCAGACCUGUAACCCAUGACUCCACACUCAGCAUGAGGCUACAUGCGGAGCUGAAUCUGGAGCAAAAGAGGAGCAGGUGAGCUGCCAAACAGCAAGACAGUGCAAUGGAGCUGCAGCUGAGGGCCUGGAGGUAACGGAUCAGUCCUCCGCUGUGUGACAACGGGGGACCGAUCACUCGCAACUGGGCACUGCUGGACACCAGGAACCGCUGCCCUGCCGCCUCAUGGGCUUCCUGUUCCUGCUGCUUCAGUCUGGUCUGCAAACAAGAGAACCAUAUCAAGAAAAUAUCUUCGAAUCAGAAGGAGUAGAACAGCACCAAAAGCCAAGGAAGUAUGGUGUUUGAUGCAGCUGGAACUGGUGAGCUGGACCAGCGUUGCUCAUAUUUACAGGCUACAGGGUCCACAUGCUGAGAAGGAUGCACUACACUUCCUUUUGUGACACAAGAGUCUACAAGGCCAGCUGGCACAUGUGAGUUGGGAGAUUCCCCCCCCAUGUCCUCGAUCUCCCAGCAGUAGGACAUGUCUAUUACCCCCAUGCAUUAUAUGGGCAUUUUAAGCAGAUGCUCAACCCACCUUAACUGGCUCUUCUCGAUCUAGAAGUCAGGGACUCUAUUCCAAGCGGCCUACCUAACUGCCGAGUCUCCACUUGGCGUAUAAAUCCCACAACCCGCUGGAGUAACCGCCUCUUACCUUUAAUCUUGGUCUUUCAGUCAGUACCCAAAGUUUUAGACCAUAGAUGACGAUAGGACUGCAGACUGAGAGAUAAAUUGCAAGGUCUCUCCAAGAAUUCAUCUCCUGCUUCACCACUACAGUUCGAUACAACGUCUGCGAUACUGAAGCUACUGCACUAAGCCAGUGGUCAACUUGGCCAUUCCGCCUGCUCUGUCCCUCAUCUGGAACUGACCCUUUCUACACCAUGUCAAAUUUGGAUAUAGGGUGCUGUAGUAAGGUACAUUACUCACACAGGUGCCACCCCCUUACAUCAGCCGCUACUGGUCAUCUUACACUACAUCUGAUAAUAUGACCUACAGUGCAUAUUUACGCAAGUAUUGCACUUGUUUGUGCAUCGCUCGUGUUUGCACUGCUCAUAUAGUUUGUCUUCUUAUUUAUUGCUUUGUAUAUUGCUAUCACUCUGUGUAUUUUUAUGUUUGGCAACAAACCAUAACCAAUUUCUGUAUGUUUACAAAGUGUCUAAAGAGUUCUGAGUUCCGUGAUUCCAAACAUACCUGUAAACUACUUUGUGCUUCAACAUGGUGUUGUUCGUUAUAGGAGACGCACUUGGCAACUGGUUGAUGCACACAGCCAUAAGGUGAGGUAUAGGGGCCAGGCGCAAUGCCUGCUGGGUGACGGACAAAGACGGAACAGUUCUGUACAGUUUAGAACAACACAAUUGAAAACUACAGAUGCCAACACAAAGAGGGUGUGGUGGCACAGCAGGUUUGGCCUGUGCCUGCUCUCUGGUGGGUCUGGGGUUUG
Long non-coding RNA from Scleropages formosus (Asian bonytongue), 2270 nucleotides. RefSeq lists it as uncharacterized. Lineage: Eukaryota; Metazoa; Chordata; Actinopteri; Osteoglossiformes; Osteoglossidae. The record is from RefSeq and is a predicted model, not a curated record. The transcript has 4 exons.